CCUACGGGAGGCAGCAGUAAGGAAUAUUGGUCAAUGGACGCAAGUCUGAACCAGCCAUGCCGCAUGAAGGAUGAAGGCCCUCUGGGUUGUAAACUUCUUUUAUAGGGGACGAAAAAAGGGAAUUCUUUCUCACUUGACGGUACCCUAGGAAUAAGCACCGGCUAACUCCGUGCCAGCAGCCGCGGUAAUACGGAGGGUGCAAGCGUUAUCCGGAUUCACUGGGUUUAAAGGGUGCGUAGGUGGGCAUUUAAGUCAGUGGUGAAAUCUCCGGGCUUAACCCGGAAACUGCCAUUGAUACUAUUUGUCUUGAAUAUUGUGGAGGUAAGCGGAAUAUGUCAUGUAGCGGUGAAAUGCUUAGAUAUGACAUAGAACACCCAUUGCGAAGGCAGCUUACUACGCAAAUAUUGACACUGAGGCACGAAAGCGUGGGGAUCAAACAGGAUUAGAUACCCUGGUAGUCCACGCCCUAAACCGAUGGAUACUCGACAUCAGCGAUACACAGUUGGUGUCUGAGCGAAAGCAUUAGUAUCCACCUGGAAGUACGACCGCAAGGUUGAAACUUAAAUGAAUUGAACGGCGNGAGAGNGCGAGAGACGACGAGGAGAGG
RNAcentral lists this ribosomal RNA (607 nucleotides) under uncultured bacterium. RNAcentral's name for it is "bacterial SSU rRNA". It matches the Rfam family "Bacterial small subunit ribosomal RNA", at positions 338 to 949 of the family's 1533-position model. The record is from RNAcentral.